RNAcentral lists this microRNA precursor (159 nucleotides) under Prunus dulcis (almond). RNAcentral describes it as "sRNA ncRNA". Lineage: Eukaryota; Viridiplantae; Streptophyta; Magnoliopsida; Rosales; Rosaceae. The record is from RNAcentral.
UAUACAUAAAUAAAGGUGAGGAGGGCUUGCCAGUUACCGCAGCUAGGUUUAGGAACAUGGGUGGUGGUGGUGCUAGAGAUACAUUGAGCGAUUCUGAUUUUGUUUCUGAGUUUAAUUUUGAUUCAGAAUGGGCAAGCCUUCCUCUAUGUUUUUUGUCCU